This 1074-nucleotide ribosomal RNA is filed under the name Salmonella enterica subsp. enterica serovar 4,[5],12:i:-. Its description in RNAcentral is "partial 23S ribosomal RNA". It matches the Rfam family "Bacterial large subunit ribosomal RNA", at positions 599 to 1590 of the family's 2925-position model. Lineage: Bacteria; Pseudomonadati; Pseudomonadota; Gammaproteobacteria; Enterobacterales; Enterobacteriaceae. The record is from RNAcentral.
GCGUACCUUUUGUAUAAUGGGUCAGCGACUUAUAUUCUGUAGCAAGGUUAACCGAAUAGGGGAGCCGGAGGGAAACCGAGUCUUAAUUGGGCGUUAAGUUGCAGGGUAUAGACCCGAAACCCGGUGAUCUAGCCAUGGGCAGGUUGAAGGUUGGGUAACACUAACUGGAGGACCGAACCGACUAAUGUUGAAAAAUUAGCGGAUGACCUGUGGCUGGGGGUGAAAGGCCAAUCAAACCGGGAGAUAGCUGGUUCUCCCCGAAAGCUAUUUAGGUAGCGCCUCGUGAAUUCAUCUCCGGGGGUAGAGCACUGUUUCGGCUAGGGGGCCAUCCCGGCUUACCAACCCGAUGCAAACUGCGAAUACCGGAGAAUGUUAUCACGGGAGACACACGGCGGGUGCUAACGUCCGUCGUGAAGAGGGAAACAACCCAGACCGCCAGCUAAGGUCCCAAAGUCAUGGUUAAGUGGGAAACGAUGUGGGAAGGCCCAGACAGCCAGGAUGUUGGCUUAGAAGCAGCCAUCAUUUAAAGAAAGCGUAAUAGCUCACUGGUCGAGUCGGCCUGCGCGGAAGAUGUAACGGGGCUAAACCAUGCACCGAAGCUGCGGCAGCGAACGUAUCACCCAAGACAACUUUACGGAGUUGACGAUUGACGGAGCGAAGCGACGUCAAAGCGUUCAUUAAAGUCGAGUUGGCUUAGGGAUACGUUCGUUGGGUAGGGGAGCGUUCUGUAAGCCUGUGAAGGUGUGUCGUGAGGCAUGCUGGAGGUAUCAGAAGUGCGAAUGCUGACAUAAGUAACGAUAAAGCGGGUGAAAAGCCCGCUCGCCGGAAGACCAAGGGUUCCUGUCCAACGUUAAUCGGGGCAGGGUGAGUCGACCCCUAAGGCGAGGCCGAAAGGCGUAGUCGAUGGGAAACGGGUUAAUAUUCCCGUACUUGGUGUUACUGCGAAGGGGGGACGGAGAAGGCUAUGUUGGCCGGGCGACGGUUGUCCCGGUUUAAGCGUGUAGGUGUGUGUUCCAGGUAAAUCCGGUUCACUUUAACACUGAGGCGUGACGACGAGGCACUACGGUGCUGAAG